Molecule: long non-coding RNA, 521 nt
Organism: Apis cerana (Asiatic honeybee)
Lineage: Eukaryota; Metazoa; Arthropoda; Insecta; Hymenoptera; Apidae
Source: RefSeq, a predicted model, not a curated record
AUUAAGAUUUUUGUGGCAAAAUUUUUCUGGUAAACAUAAUCAUUGAAAAAUGGAAAAUGACGUCAUAAUAUCACAUAAUUGAAAAUAUGUAGUACUGCGAUUGAUGGGGAACGAGUAUAAAAGAAUGCGCGACACUAUGAAUGGCUUGCAAUUCGGCAACUCGAGUAAUCCCGGAUUAUCGGAUGUCUUCCAAUAUCGACCAAUACUCUUAGAGAGCUGAAUACAUACAUGAAAGUCAAAUGGAUACAUUCCUGAGUAUGCUUUCUCAUAGUUGACUCUCACAUCGUUCGAGAGCAGAAAAUUUUCGAAGUACCCUCAAGUGGACACACAACUUGAAAAUACUCUCGGGAGCAACUAUCAAAAGAAACUCUCAGAUGGACAUCAGAGAAUCAGAGAGAAAAAGAAACAGAGAGAGAGAGAGAGGGAUGCAACCACGGAAUUUCCAAUCGAGCGAAGGCGAUGGUAACGGAGCGAGAAACUACACAAAGGCACCCGAAGUACUUGGAAAUAGUUUAGCAAGA